GUAGUCUCGCACAGAUGCAUAUCAAUAAGCGGAGGAAAAGAAACUAACAAGGAUUCCCUCAGUAACGGCGAGUGAAGCGGGAAGAGCUCAAAUUUGAAAUCUUGAAAGGUCACCUUUCACGAAUUGUAGUUUAAAGAAGUGUUUUCUGUUACGAUCGUAAUAUAAGUUCUUUGGAAUAGGACAUCACAGAGGGUGAGAAUCCCGUCUAUGACUGCGAUUUGUAGCUUUGUGAUACACUUUCAAAGAGUCGGGUUGUUUGGGAAUGCAGCCCAAAACGGGAGGUAAAUUUCUUCUAAGGCUAAAUAUUGGCGAGAGACCGAUAGCGAACAAGUACCGUGAGGGAAAGACGAAAAGAACUUUGAAAAGAGAGUUAAAUAGUACGUGAAAUUGUCAAAAGGGAAGCGUUUAACACCAGUGUUGUUUUCUGAAAAUCAACCUCUGUUAGCUUUAUGCAUGUUUGUUUAGACCUAAUCAGCUAUCUUGCAUGUUCUAUUUGUUUGCAGUGGUGCACUUUUCAGUUUACAGGUCAACAUCAGUUUUUUUUACCGUAAAAAAGUUAAAGAAAGGUAGCUCAUGGCUCCGGUCGUGAGUGUUAUAGUCUUUUUCCUAUGCGGUAGGAGAGACUGAGGUCUGCAGUGUAGGCUAUUUGGCUAGAUACUCAGGUGCUAUGUGAUACCAUUUCAUAAACAACUUGUUGAUUAUGUUUUGUCUAUUGCAUACUCGCUUGUACUAUCAUACCUACGCUUAGGAUGUUGAGUCGUAGAGCACGCAG
Molecule: ribosomal RNA, 772 nt
Filed under: uncultured Neocallimastigales
Lineage: Eukaryota; Fungi; Neocallimastigomycota; Neocallimastigomycetes; Neocallimastigales
Description: partial large subunit ribosomal RNA
Rfam family: Eukaryotic large subunit ribosomal RNA (bases 6-662)
Source: RNAcentral